AUUGAACGCUGGCGGCAUGCUUUACACAUGCAAGUCGAACGGCAGCGCGGGCUUCGUCCUGGCGGCGCGUUGCGAACGGGCGAGUAAUGCAUCGGAACGUGCCCAGCAGUGGGGGAUAGCCCGACGAAAGCCGGCUUAAUACCGCAUACGACCAUAGGGUGAAAGCGGGGGACCGAAAGUCCUCGCCCUUUUUGAUCUGCCGGUGUCGGAUUAGCUAGUUGGUUGGGUAAGGGCUUACCAAGGCGACGAUCCGUAGCUGGUCUGAGAGGACGACCGGCCACACUGGGACUGAGACACGGUCCAGACUCCUACGGGAGGCAGCAGUGGGGAAUUUUGGACAAUGGGGGCAACCCUGACCCAGCCAUGCCGCGUGAGGGAAGAAGGCCUUCGGGUUGUAAACCGCUGUUGUUCGGGAAGAACUCCUCUGGGCUAAUACCCCGGGGGGAUGACGGUACCGGAAGAAUAAGCACCGGCUAACUACGUG
Molecule: ribosomal RNA, 484 nt
Filed under: uncultured bacterium
Lineage: Bacteria
Description: partial 16S ribosomal RNA
Rfam family: Bacterial small subunit ribosomal RNA
Source: RNAcentral